RNAcentral lists this unclassified non-coding RNA (4471 nucleotides) under Megachile rotundata (alfalfa leafcutting bee). Its description in RNAcentral is "histone-lysine N-methyltransferase, H3 lysine-79 specific, transcript variant X1". The record is from RNAcentral. Lineage: Eukaryota; Metazoa; Arthropoda; Insecta; Hymenoptera; Megachilidae.
AAAUUUCUAAAUUGCCGAAGUUCUCAAAAAUGUUCAAUUUUUGUAAAGGUUACAAAAAAGGGCCCAUAGUGAAUAGUAUAUUCUUAUUCAACAUAGUCUUUUCCCCUAGAUAAAUCUACUAUGCUCGACACUGUACCCGCGGUCGAAAGUUCAACGGUUCCUUGAACGCAUGCGCAGUGAAGGUAGUUGGCGCGGAACACCCGGAUGUGCUGCCGCAUGAACACGGUACGGUAGAAGGAAGAGGCAUGACGCCAUGUUUUGAUGUCGUCAUCCCCCCCCAAACCGCUGUUUCUUGAGCAGCACAAUAGUCUGUCAGUGUUUUUCUGUUGUGUACCUCGUGUUCCGUGUUCCUGGUGGCCGUUCUGGCGUGCCUGCCCGGGCCUCUCCACCGUCGCGUCGCAAUUGAAUGCUCACCUCUAAGGCCGAGGCUUGUCCCCGUGAGUUGACGGUCGCUGAAAGUGGCCCUUCGUGUCUUUUCAUGUCCGGGGAAGUAACCGCGGAGCGGGGGGGGUCCACGAGCGUCGUCUACGUGGUGGUAGUGUCCUAGUGCGGGGAGGACGAGCGACCACGAUCCUCCACCGAACGGUUUAUUCAAGUGGUUACGUCACGCAAUCCUGAACUAGGCUUUCGGGGGAAACGCUUUGCUGAAGAAGUGGACGACGACGGCGACGGGGACGAGGACGACGGCCCUGCUAAAAUGGAGCUGCGCCUGCACUCGCCAGCCGGAGCAGAACCGAUCGUCUAUCAAUGGCCCCUUACCUCCGGAUCCGGAAAUGAUCGACACGAUGGUGCACUUGAUGUUGUUGAAACAAUGCGGUGGGUUUGUGAGGAUUUGCCAGAUUUAAAGCUACCAUUAGAAAACAAUAUUUUAUGUAAUUAUGACACAAGAGAUUAUGAAAGUAUGAAAAGUUUAUGUGACAGAUUCAAUAGAGCAAUUGACAGUUUAGUUCAGUUGGAAAAGGGCACUAGUUUACCAUCUCAGAGGUUAAAUAAAAGACCCAGUCGAGGUUUAUUAAGACAUAUACUUCAACAAACGUAUAAUCAGGCGGUAGUUGAACCAGAUAAAUUAAAUCAGUAUGAACCAUUUUCACCAGAAGUGUACGGUGAAACAAGUUAUGAGCUUGUGUGUCAAAUGAUUGAUCAGAUUGAUGUAACGGAAGAUGAUGUAUUUGUUGAUUUGGGAUCUGGAGUUGGUCAAGUAGUUCUCCAAAUGGCAGCAGCAACCUUAUGUAAAAUUUGUAUUGGUGUUGAGAGAGCUGAUGUACCUUCAAGAUAUGCACAGAGUAUGGAAAUAAACUUUCGUAAAUGGUUGAAUUGGUAUGGGAAAAGAUGCGGCGAAUAUCGUUUGGUAAAAGGCGAUUUUUUAGCUGAUGAACAUCGGGAAAGCAUUACUGGCGCUACGAUAGUAUUUGUCAAUAAUUUUGCAUUUGGUCCAACGGUAGAUCAUCAGUUGAAAGAGCGAUUUGCCGAUUUAAGAGAUGGUGCCCGUAUAGUAUCCUCAAAGUCAUUUUGCCCCCUCAAUUUUCGCAUAACGGAUAGAAAUCUUAGCGAUAUUGGUACAAUAAUGCAUGUGUCAGAAAUGUCACCAUUAAAGGGUUCUGUAUCUUGGACUGGUAAACCAGUGUCUUAUUAUUUACAUGUAAUCGAUCGUACCAAGUUAGAACGUUAUUUCCACCGUUUAAAGAAUAAUAAACAAGGUGGUGAUGAGAACUCUGAUUCUGUGAUAAAUAACACUGCCAGCAAUAGUAAUAAGAUUACAAGUAGAAACGAGAGAGGCGAUAGAGCUAAACGAGAUUUGUCAAGGCAGUUAGAUAGUCCAAAUCAUUCCGAACAACAAGGAACGAAUAGCGAUACAGAUUUGGAUGAGAAUAAUAUUAAAAAUCGUCGGCAACCAAAUAAAAUUCGUAGGAAGUUAAAUAGAAAAACUAAUGGUAUUACAAGGCCUCCAACUAGAGGCAGACAGAGGGGAAGAGGUGUGAAAAAAUCUAAACCGAAGAAAGCAAUUAAUAUUUCGGGUCUAGAUUUGCUACAUAGCCAAACGUUACUUAGUACAUCCCCUCAAGCUUUGGGAAAGAAACCACCACCCGCGCCUGGUUGUGUGGAUCAACAACUGUCUUCAUUGUCACUUUCUUUACAAUCACAUUCCACCUCUGUGCAUGAAGAACUUAGUAUACCACCUGCUCCGUCCGCCACUCCAUAUGCUUUACAAAUACUUUUGGACUUGUAUAGGGACCAAUUCAUGCUCAUGUUAGAAUCAAUGAGAACUCCUUCGUAUAGAGUAUCAGUUAACACAGACAUUGCAAAAGAAAGAGAAAGAAAUUCCAAAUUACAGUCUAGAGCGGCGCAAUUAGAAAAACAGAUAAAGGUACUAAUCGAUGAUAGCGUAGCACUUCUAAAAGCACGGAUGACCGAGUUAGGUAUAAAUGCAACAUCGCCGGGUGAUUUACUUGCAAAAGCUAAGGAAAUAGUUCUUAGACAUAAACAAUUGCAAGCUAAAGCAAGUAAACUGCAAGCCCAAGUUGCAUCCAUGGAAAGUGAACAGUCGAGAUUGACUGCGCUUAGGCACCAAGAAUUGCAAGAGAAAUACAGCAGUCUUACGAAUGCAAACGGUAUAUCAAAUCCACCACAACCGCUUACUCAGGAUUACAUAUUAAAAGAAAUAUCCGCAACAUUGUCUCAACGCAAAAGAUUACAUUGUCAGGUAUCCAAAUUGGAACAUGAAUUGAAUGUAUUGGAAAGAGCGAGCAAUGAAAAACAAGUAGCUGCAAUUGCUCAACAACAACGAGAAGCAAUGAACACGAAACAUUCGCAAAGUCAACAUCAUCAUCAGCAACAAAAUGGAAAAAGUGGAUCAUCACGGAAAAACAGAGAAGGACGUUCUAGAUCGCAAGAGUGGCCAGAUGUGCCCGAUAUCGGAAAAAUUCAAGAAAACAAUCCAGAAAUAUUGGCACAAAAAAUUUUAGAAACAGGCAGACAAAUAGAAGCUGGUCGAAUAUUAAAUAGACAAAACACGAAUACGAAUAGCAAUUCUAGAACUAGACUGCCACAAGCGUCUCUUAGUUUUUCUACUAGUUCGUCGUCAAUUUCAUCUUCACAAUUACAAGCAAAUAAUAAAGAAACAACAAAUAGAACUCAGGAACCUCCUAGGGUUGCAAAUUUUGAAGAUAGAUUAAAGAGUAUUAUUACGAGCGUUUUGAACGAAGAUCAACAGAAUAGAAAUAAACAACAACAAAUGCAACUACAGGUGCAAUUACAAAAUCAGACUGAACCAGAUAGGAAACGUAUCGCUUUACCACAAAAUGUUUCUACUCCUGAUUAUACACAGGUUUCACCUGCAAAACUAGCUCUUCGCCGUCACUUGUCUCAAGAACGUCUUUCUUCACACUUAACACCAUCCGAUAGGUCAACAAUUGACUCUAGGCAAUCGAGUCAUGACAAUCGUAUUGUAACAGGGGGGAAUGGAUUGCUUGGUACUAGAACAAUCGGUGAUUUGGUUAGCGGAGAAAUAGAGAGAACUUUAGAAAUAUCUAAUCAAUCUAUAAUAAACGCUGCUGUUGAUAUGAGCGCAAUGAUAAGGCCGGAGACUGUAUAUUCUCCUAUCAGUAGACCAGCUAGUGCCGAGGGUGAUGCUGGUUUGUCAACUCUCGCACACGUAGCAAGUUACGCUCCAACUUCUUCAGCAGUUUCGACAUGUACUCCUACCACUACUUCAAGAUCAUCUGUAUUGUUUACUCCCGUUACGCAACCGCAGAGAUAUACACCAGUUCAGUUACCUCGCGCAGAUAUCAAGCCUUAUCACGAAUCGUAUUUCUCCGACAAUCCUCAGUCGCUCGCGCAAAAUCAUCCUCCACCAUCAUUGCAUUCAUCUCAAGCUGUGUCGAACGGUGAACUUUUACCGGUAGAAGGAUUAGCUGCAUCUUUACAUGCUCGUAUAUUGAAUAAUCAUAAUACAAAAACCGAGCCAAUGCUUUCUACAAGUAGAAGAUUUCAACCGUAUCCACGGUAUGCAACCAGUAGUAACAGUAAUGGCAGUGCAACAACAAAUGGUAUUGUGACAGCCAUUUGUCAGUCACAGCCUGCGAUGUCAGUAAAGACAGAAGCAGUUGUAUCGUCAGUAAGCACAAGCGGAGCACCAUUAAGUCCCCUUGUAGAACCACAUUCUAAUACAUCUACACCACUAGUUGAUGAACCCCAAAUGACAACGCAGAGACAACGAAACGGUAUCGGUGACGACGAUGCACUGUAGCUGUUUGUUGGUUAGAUCUGUCUGUCACAUACUCAAUCUCACUCACAACCCUUGAAGCUUGUUUUAUUAGAGAUUGAGACACGUUCAGAGGAGAAAUCAAAAAGUACGGCUGCCUGUGGGUUGGUUCGUGGUUGCUGAUGGAGAGGCAGAUUGGCAAGACCGUAUCAGUUCUGGAUUCGACAGACUGGUUGCAUUCGCGUCUACGGAACUGGACAAACGAAGAAG